UGGGGAAUUUUGGACAAUGGGCGAAAGCCUGAUCCAGCAAUGCCGCGUGUGUGAAGAAGGCCUUCGGGUUGUAAAGCACUUUUGUCCGGAAAGAAAUCCUUGGCUCUAAUACAGUCGGGGGAUGACGGUACCGGAAGAAUAAGCACCGGCUAACUACGUGCCAGCAGCCGCGGUAAUACGUAGGGUGCAAGCGUUAAUCGGAAUUACUGGGCGUAAAGCGUGCGCAGGCGGUUUGCUAAGACCGAUGUGAAAUCCCCGGGCUCAACCUGGGAACUGCAUUGGUGACUGGCAGGCUAGAGUAUGGCAGAGGGGGGUAGAAAUCCACGUGUAGCAGUGAAAUGCGUAGAGAUGUGGAGGAAUACCGAUGGCGAAGGCAGCCCCCUGGGCCAAUACUGACGCUCAUGCACGAAAGCGUGGGGAGCAAACAGGAUUAGAUACCCUGGUAGUCCACGCCCUAAACGAUGUCAACUAGUUGUUGGGGAUUCAUUUCCUUAGUAACGUAGCUAACGCGUGAAGUUGACCGCCUGGGGAGUACGGUCGCAAGAUUAAAACUCAAAGGAAUUGACGGGGUCAUAGCUGUUUCCU
Molecule: ribosomal RNA, 585 nt
Filed under: uncultured bacterium
Lineage: Bacteria
Description: partial 16S ribosomal RNA
Rfam family: Bacterial small subunit ribosomal RNA
Source: RNAcentral